RNAcentral lists this ribosomal RNA (95 nucleotides) under Paludibacter sp. Lineage: Bacteria; Pseudomonadati; Bacteroidota; Bacteroidia; Bacteroidales; Paludibacteraceae. The record is from RNAcentral.
GCCCCACCCGAUCCCAUUUCGAACUCGGAAGUGAAACCGCUUAGCGCCGAUGAUAGUGUGAGGUCUUCUCAUGUGAAAGUAGGACACCGCCAGGC